This 497-nucleotide ribosomal RNA is filed under the name uncultured bacterium. RNAcentral describes it as "partial 16S ribosomal RNA". It matches the Rfam family "Bacterial small subunit ribosomal RNA", at positions 28 to 507 of the family's 1533-position model. The record is from RNAcentral.
GAUGAACGCUGGCGGCGUGCCUAAUACAUGCAAGUCGAGCGAACGGACGAGAAGCUUGCUUCUCUGACGUUAGCGGCGGACGGGUGAGUAACACGUGGAUAACCUACCUAUAAGACUGGGAUAACUUCGGGAAACCGGAGCUAAUACCGGAUAAUAUUUUGAACCGCAUGGUUCAAAAGUGAAAGACGGUUUUGCUGUCACUUAUAGAUGGAUCCGCGCUGCAUUAGCUAGUUGGUAAGGUAACGGCUUACCAAGGCAACGAUGCAUAGCCGACCUGAGAGGGUGAUCGGCCACACUGGAACUGAGACACGGUCCAGACUCCUACGGGAGGCAGCAGUAGGGAAUCUUCCGCAAUGGGCGAAAGCCUGACGGAGCAACGCCGCGUGAGUGAUGAAGGUCUUCGGAUCGUAAAACUCUGUUAUUAGGGAAGAACAAAUGUGUAAGUAACUAUGCACAUCUUGACGGUACCUAAUCAGAAAGCCACGGCUAACUACGUG